This 25-nucleotide non-coding RNA is filed under the name Mus musculus (house mouse). Lineage: Eukaryota; Metazoa; Chordata; Mammalia; Rodentia; Muridae. The record is from RNAcentral.
UGGACAAUGGUGCUCCUCACAUUCA